Molecule: long non-coding RNA, 1326 nt
Organism: Bos taurus (domestic cattle)
Lineage: Eukaryota; Metazoa; Chordata; Mammalia; Artiodactyla; Bovidae
Source: Ensembl
GCAAUGAGUGUGAAUGAGCAUUGUUACCAGGCUCACUCCAGAGACGCAGCCUGAGCUCCAUGGCUGCCCCUCACGCUGCCCUCAGGUCGGAGGCCCUGAAACCCCUCCUGGGAGCAGAACCGCGGGAGGCCCCUCUGUCAGCUCCCAUCCAUUCCUGCAUCCCCACCCCCAGAGAUGGUCCUCCUGAAUUCCAGCCCCCUGGAUAGCAGGGAGCCCUGCACUUCCAUGUUACAUACAAGAACUGCCCACAGAGAAUGAGAGAGGGAGCAGGGGAUGGCAGUUUCCAUAGCAACGCUAGGUUUCUCAUUCCCAGCACACAAAAUGCCAAAGCAGGGUUGGGGAGGUGCAGAGAGAGGAGUCUCCUCUCCCUCUCCUGCCCUCGCCAUCUCCACCUUGCUAGGUCCCAUUCAGAUGAGGAAAGCUGAAACAGGUGAUGCUGAAACUCCUGAAGGAAUCGUGUCAUCUUGAGCUGCUCAAGUUUAUUUCCACUAAAAAUACACCCUGAAACUGGGGCACAAUGAAGGAUUUCUGACAAAUGGGGAAGAGGAAUAAAUAAAAACUCUGGGGCCUUCUGAUUCUUCACUGAGUCACCUCCAAAUACUCACCAGUGAGCUGAGCUUGGACUCUCUCCACUCGUCGCUGUCAUCAGUAAAAGCUCAGGCAGUCCGUGUGGUCUGGGAGCUUAAAAGUCUCGAAGCUUGUGAGUCAUUGUUAGGAGAGGCCCCUGAUGGAACUGAACCCUGCAUCUACCAGGGAGGAAACAGAAGAACUAGAGGGGAAGUGACUUGGUCCUGCACCAUUCGGAUGAGUGUGCUGGAGAGGGACUUAGAGCCUGCACCCGGCCUCCUCACUUCACCACCCCAACUCCCCAGUCUUCCCAAGCCCCCCGCCUGCACCCAGCACCUGUGUCUGCCGUUCCUGUGGCACAUCUUAAGGCAGCCUAGGCAUGCCAGGGGGCGGUCAAUGAGAGAAUCCUCAGUUAGCAAUAAAGAAUGCUUUCAGCUUCAGGUUACAGAAAACCAGAUCAAUGGCAGCUCAACUGUAAGGACAUUAGUGUUGACUCAUUGAGACUAGGGAGGGAGGUAGCCCCAGGCUGAGACCACUGACUCAGCCAUGUCAAGAAGGAUCCAAGUUCCCCACUCUGCCAUUCUGGGGAUUUUAACUCUUUACCCUCAAGCUUAUUGCCUCAUAUCACAAAAUGGUUGCCACGGCUCUGGAUAUCAAGUCCUUAUAAAUAGUAUGCAAAGCUAAAAGGAGUUACCUAAAAAAAAAAAAGUUUCCUUCUCUGCCUUCUCCUUGGGUAGCUCUCUCUCUUCUGUGCAUACG